RNAcentral lists this ribosomal RNA (489 nucleotides) under uncultured bacterium. RNAcentral's name for it is "partial 16S ribosomal RNA". It matches the Rfam family "Bacterial small subunit ribosomal RNA", at positions 32 to 523 of the family's 1533-position model. The record is from RNAcentral.
AAUCAACGCUGGCGGCGUGCCUAACACAUGCAAGUCGAGCGAGAAAAGGGGAGCAAUCCCCUGAGUACAGCGGCGCACGGGUGAGUAACACGUGGGUAAUCUGCCCUGGAGUGGGGAAUAACACCGGGAAACCGGUGCUAAUACCGCAUACGAUCACAGAGUCUGCGGAUUUUGUGAUGAAAGGAGCAAUUCGCUCUAGGAGGAGCCCGCGGCUGAUUAGCUAGUUGGUGAGGUAAUGGCUCACCAAGGCAACGAUCAGUAUCCGGUCUGAGAGGACGGUCGGACAAACUGGAACUGAGACACGGUCCAGACUCCUACGGGGGGCAGCAGUGGGGAAUUUUUGGCAAUGGGGGCAACCCUGACCAAGCAACGCCGCGUGGGUGAUGAAGUCUCUUGGGACGUAAAACCCUUUCGACGGGGACGAAACCGCAAGGUUGACGGUACCCGUAGAAGAAGCCCCGGCUAACUCCGUGCCAGCCGCCGCCGUAA